GGUUUCAUAGUGUAGCAGUUAGCACGUCUGCUUUACAUGCAGAAGGUUCUGGUUUCGCACCCCAGUGGAGCCA
Molecule: transfer RNA, 73 nt
Filed under: Pteropus alecto (black flying fox)
Lineage: Eukaryota; Metazoa; Chordata; Mammalia; Chiroptera; Pteropodidae
Rfam family: tRNA
About the family: Transfer RNA (tRNA) molecules are approximately 80 nucleotides in length. Their secondary structure includes four short double-helical elements and three loops (D, anti-codon, and T loops).
Source: Rfam by way of RNAcentral